UACGAGAGCCCCGAGCGUUAUCCGGAAUCAUUGGGCGUAAAGGGUGCGUAGGUGGCGUUGUUAGUCUUCUGUUAAAGCCCCGAGCUUAACUCGGGAAUCGCAGAGGAAACGGCAAUGCUAGAGGUUGUGAGAGGUGUGCGGAACUCAUGGUGUAGGGGUGAAAUCCGUUGAUAUCAUGGGGAACACCAAAGGCGAAAGCAGCACACUGGCACAUACCUGACACUGAGGCACGAAAGCGUGGGUAGCGAAUGGG
RNAcentral lists this ribosomal RNA (253 nucleotides) under uncultured bacterium. Its description in RNAcentral is "partial 16S ribosomal RNA". It matches the Rfam family "Bacterial small subunit ribosomal RNA", at positions 524 to 776 of the family's 1533-position model. The record is from RNAcentral.